GUAUCCUGUCUGAAUAUGGGGGGACCAUCCUCCAAGGCUAAAUACUCCUGACUGACCGAUAGUGAACCAGUACCGUGAGGGAAAGGCGAAAAGAACCCCGGCGAGGGGAGUGAAAAAGAACCUGAAACCGUGUACGUACAAGCAGUGGGAGCACCUUCGUGGUGUGACUGCGUACCUUUUGUAUAAUGGGUCAGCGACUUAUAUUCUGUAGCAAGGUUAACCGUAUAGGGGAGCCGAAGGGAAACCGAGUCUUAACUGGGCGUUAAGUUGCAGGGUAUAGACCCGAAACCCGGUGAUCUAGCCAUGGGCAGGUUGAAGGUUGGGUAACACUAACUGGAGGACCGAACCGACUAAUGUUGAAAAAUUAGCGGAUGACUUGUGGCUGGGGGUGAAAGGCCAAUCAAACCGGGAGAUAGCUGGUUCUCCCCGAAAGCUAUUUAGGUAGCGCCUCGUGAACUCAUCUUCGGGGGUAGAGCACUGUUUCGGCUAGGGGGCCAUCCCGGCUUACCAACCCGAUGCAAACUACGAAUACCGAAGAAUGUUAUCACGGGAGACACACGGCGGGUGCUAACGUCCGUCGUGAAGAGGGAAACAACCCAGACCGCCAGCUAAGGUCCCAAAGUCAUGGUUAAGUGGGAAACGAUGUGGGAAGGCACAGACAGCCAGGAUGUUGGCUUAGAAGCAGCCAUCAUUUAAAGAAAGCGUAAUAGCUCACUGGUCGAGUCGGCCUGCGCGGAAGAUGUAACGGGGCUAAACCAUGCACCGAAGCUGCGGCAGCGACGCUUAGGCGUUGUUGGGUAGGGGAGCGUUCUGUAAGCCGUUGAAGGUGUGCUGUGAGGCAUGCUGGAGGUAUCAGAAGUGCGAAUGCUGACAUAAGUAACGAUAAAGCGGGUGAAAAGCCCGCUCGCCGGAAGACCAAGGGUUCCUGUCCAACGUUAAUCGGGGCAGGGUGAGUCGACCCCUAAGGCGAGGCCGAAAGGCGUAGUCGAUGGGAAACAGGUUAAUAUUCCUGUACUUGGUGUUACUGCGAAGGGGGGACGGAGAAGGCUAUGUUAGCCGGGCGACGGUUGUCCCGGUUUAAGCAUGUAGGCGGAGGU
Molecule: ribosomal RNA, 1097 nt
Filed under: Enterobacter asburiae
Lineage: Bacteria; Pseudomonadati; Pseudomonadota; Gammaproteobacteria; Enterobacterales; Enterobacteriaceae
Description: partial 23S ribosomal RNA
Rfam family: Bacterial large subunit ribosomal RNA
Source: RNAcentral